UCGGAGGCAGCAGUGGGGAAUUUUGGACAAUGGGCGCAAGCCUGAUCCAGCCAUUCCGCGUGAGUGAAGAAGGCCUUCGGGUUGUAAAGCUCUUUCGCAAGGAAAGAAAACUUAUCUCCUAAUACGAGGUGAGGUUGACGGUACCUUGAUAAGAAGCACCGGCUAACUACGUGCCAGCAGCCGCGGUAAUACGUAGGGUGCGAGCGUUAAUCGGAAUUACUGGGCGUAAAGCGUGCGCAGGCGGUUUUGUAAGUCAGAUGUGAAAUCCCCGGGCUCAACCUGGGAACUGCGUUUGAAACUACAAGGCUAGAGUGUAGAAGAGGGGGGUAGAAUUCCACGUGUAGCAGUGAAAUGCGUAGAGAUGUGGAGGAAUACCGAUGGCGAAGGCAGCCCCCUGGGCUAACACUGACGCUCAUGCACGAAAGCGUGGGGAGCAAACAGGAUUAGAUACCCCGGU
This 457-nucleotide ribosomal RNA is filed under the name uncultured bacterium. RNAcentral describes it as "bacterial SSU rRNA". It matches the Rfam family "Bacterial small subunit ribosomal RNA", at positions 342 to 791 of the family's 1533-position model. The record is from RNAcentral.